This 2068-nucleotide long non-coding RNA is filed under the name Triticum aestivum (bread wheat). Its description in RNAcentral is "long non-coding RNA (TAES_LNC020478)". The record is from RNAcentral. Lineage: Eukaryota; Viridiplantae; Streptophyta; Magnoliopsida; Poales; Poaceae.
AUGAUGAUCAGGAUGAUUGACAAGGAAGAAAUGUUCCACAGGCUUGCUAUCUGAUUCAUCGGGGUCUGGUGGUAUGUUCCGUACAAGAACCUACAAUAAAAACACAUUGAUGACUCAGAAUCAAAAGAAUAAUCAGAGAACCAUUAAUCUAGAUAAGAUCAUUGUUGUAUGCAGCAUUCUUUUUUCUAGCAAAGGGGUCUAAACUGAGCUCAUGUAUAAGUUGCAAUCACAAAGGGAUCCCAUGGCCUCAAUCCUCAGCUCCAUCUCUCUAUCCUGAUCUGAUUCUCUCCGUCUUGAACCAAAUAGAGAAAAGAGGGGAGAUGAACCUGAGGGAGGAAGGCGAUCGCAUGGUGGCGAACGCAGGAGGAACCGGAGGACGGGAGCAUGGUGGUUGAUGCCUAGGGUUUAGCGCAGAUCGUGGCGGCGUCUCCUCUGGGAGGUCGGCGGCGUGCGAAGGCGAAGGCGUACCUCAGCAGAGGUCUCCAGAUGGCGACCCAGAGGUCCACAACGAUGGCGGCGCCGCCUCCACGACCCCUCGGAGCCGGCAAAGGGAUCCGCGGCUUGCGCCUGGGAUCUGCCAGGCGGCGGCGUUCGCGUCGCGAAUAGAUCCAGGGGUCGUCGCUCCUUCACCUCGUACGUGCGGGCGAUAGGUUUAGGUUUUUUUGUCGCUGGUUAAUUUUCGUAGGUCUUUUAUCGUUGGUUAACCUUCGUAGGUCUUUUUUCGGUCGUACGUGCAUGGGUGCGGGUUGGGGUCUCAGCACGAGGUUUUUUCGGUUUGUGGUGGCUAAGUCAGAGGUGGGAGGAUGUACCAAAAAAAACCAUAGGAGGUGGGACUAAAAAAAACCUGGAAGCGAGACUACCAACUGCUCCAUUAGGAGUAGAGAUAGUGGGGAGUAACAUAUGUGUGCUGUCAUGCAAUGCUUUAUUUAUUAGCUUGUAGACUUAGCUUAUCUUGGUAUGUGUAAUAUUACUUCCUUUAUCUUAGUUUACAAGUCUUGCGUGUGUAUUUAGGUCAUUAAUUUGACCAACUUAAUAAGAGGCAUGUAGUACAAAAAAUAUGUCAUUAGAAACUUUAGAUAUUCUAUUUUCUAAUGAUAUAAUUUUUAUAUUAAACAAUUUAUCUUAUAUAAGUUAAACUGAUGACUUAGAUACAUGUGCAAGCCUUGUAAACUAAGAUGAAGGGAGUACUCAUAGUAUGAGUAAUUAGCUAUGUUAUUGAAUUCAUCUCUCUCCUUGUUAAAUCAUUGUCACAUAAACAAAUUUGCUGAGUUUGACUUUAUGUUACUGCUGAAGUUACUCACAUUAUGGGCAGUCAUACUAAUGCAAGGCCGAACCAUCAGAUUGCUCCACCCCAACACAUAGUUGAAAUAAAUGUCAAUGUUGCUCUACUGCAGUAUGCAUCAUUACCAGUUGUGGCCGCGGUGUGCAGAGACCGAUCGGGUAUUUAUAUUAGAUCUUGAGCUAUUUCUCUUGUGGGAAAUUUAGAUCCCACAACACUUGAAGCCUUUGCAUUCCAAGAAGCGCUGGUCCUUGCAGAUGACUUCUAGGAGCGAAGAAUUUUUGUUGCUUCAGAUUGCAAGAUUGUCAUUUGAUGAUAUCAAGCAGAAGAGUGCGGUUGUAUAUGGCGCAAUUAUCUGAGAAAUGUUAGAUCAUUCUAGAUUUUUUAUUAGUUGCCCUUCUAGUCAUGAAUUAGGAGGCUGGAUACCAAGACUCACAAUUUAGUGAAGCAUGCUCUCUCACUGGGGUUGGCCCUCAUGUUUGGUUAGGUAUCCCCGGUGAUCUUACUUUCGCCUUUGUAAAUAUUGUGACGAGUUACAUAAGCUUCAUGAGAUUGUCUACAAAAAUAUAUUUUAGAUUAUUGAAAAUUCGAGAACAUAUCUUGAAAAAUGUGAAUGUUUUUAGAAAUUAUUAAAAUUGGGAACAUGUUUUGAAUGUUUUCAAAAUGUGAUUUUUUUAAUAUUUUGAACAAAUUUUAAAGAUAUUUUUUUGAAAUUGUGAAAAAAGUAAUUCUAUAAAUUAUUUUUAAUUUUUAUAGAUUUUUAACAAUUUUAUUUUUUAACACUUUUUA